UCCACUUGGCUUCAGGCAUCUCCAGGAUUCCCACCAACCUCCAGCCAUGAAGAUCUUCUGCCUCCUCUCUCUUGCCGUCCUCUUCUUGAUGCUGCUGGCUCCAGAUUUCACUGAAGCCCAACACAGUGACCAGACAUGUCGUGUUAAUAGGGGGAUAUGCAGGGCUCACGGCUGCCGCAUAACCGAAUACCCAAAAGGACGUUGCUCGGGAAGGAGACGUUGCUGCGUUAAACUUGGAACUCUCACGGACAAAUAGAGCAACGUCUCUGACGAAGGAGCAUCUUCCCCCCGCCCUCUGUGGAAACCCCUGUGCUGCCUCGACUGCAUCACCCAGCUCAUCUCGUGAAGAAAAUGCUUUGCCUCGCGCCACUUCAUGCCCAUUUACUCUUGAGUAAGCCCUUCUGUGCUCAGUGGGACUGACUCCUUCCUAACUGGGCUUAGGGCUGGAGCCUAGAUUUGGUUUGCUUGCUCAAAUGCUUUCGUUUUGCCUUUUAAUAAAUGCAAGCAUUGAAAGUGCCUGUUACCGUUGCAUGGUGU
Zootoca vivipara (common lizard) is the source of this 537-nucleotide non-coding RNA. The record is from RefSeq and is a predicted model, not a curated record. Lineage: Eukaryota; Metazoa; Chordata; Lepidosauria; Squamata; Lacertidae.